CAAGAAUUCCAGGCAGAAUAACCAUCGGUUGUCUACAGAAAGCUGAUAUGCGUAGAAGAGUUGUGCCUUUGCCGGAUUCCAUACAAGAGCUACUUGAUAUCGGUGCUGAGAAAUUUGGCAUCUCUCUCACUGAAGUACUAACUGAAGAUGGAGCACUUAUUGAGGACAUUGCACUGAUAAGAGAUGGAGAUCAUCUAGUUCUUGCUACUUCAGAAAAUUAAACACAGCUCAAUCAUACAUAUUUCAGAUUGACCUGUAAAUUUUGUAUAGUUGAUGAUAGAUCACUAACUAGGCAAUGUAAUUACCAAACAUAGGAAUUUUAGUCAUUGGAAGAAAAUGUAUAGAUUUUUACAGAUAACAAAGUUUUCUCCUCCAUUAUAUACAAUCAGUUUUUUUUUAGACACCGCCAAAUAUAUUUCUAUUAAAAAGACCUACAAAUAGAAUAUCAAAGCAGAAUUGGUUGUUCAAGAGAAUUUCCACGAGAAAAGAUCAUGGUGUGGCUGAGGGUACAAUUUAACAUAGUCAGCUUUGCAUUAUGCUUCAAUAUAUCAACGUUAUCCUGUUCUCGUCAUAACUCAGACCAGAGAACAUACUAAUCUAGAAGCUGUCAAUGUUGAUUUUAGUUGGUCACAACCAGAUAGGCUGUUAACAUUGAUACUGCACUUGGUGUUUUGAAGACUUAUUCCAUUAUGUUAGACAGUACUAUUACUCUUCUUUAUUUACUCGUACUAUGCUUUAAGGAGCAGGUUUUGUGCAUUUUAAAAAAUUUUAAAAAAACUGAGUUAGCAAUUGUUUUUGAGUUCCUGCAAGCUCUUUGUUGUUGCAGUUUUUUGUUAUUAUUCUAUUGUUAAGCCAAAACCUCUUACAAACUAAAGGUUCAGACUAGAAUCAAAUGUUACUAAUCUAAGUUUAUUUCUGUAGUUCUCAUGGCUACACCCUGUUCAUUAAAAAAUUAUAAUGCUAUGAGGAUUUGAAGACCAAAUUGAUACGACCGGAAGAACGGGAACAAAAAGAGUAAUUUACUAGAAACAAUGGAGUAUACAAUUUUAUUGCUUUCCUUAUCACAUAGUUUUGUUCUUGCAUCAACACUCACAGUUGGGUUAUGAUUUCGAACGCAAAACCAUAUAUUAGUUAUUGGUGCAAGUGUUUUCAUCAAAGGUAGAAAAAGUUGGCCUUUCUUCUCAUCAUAUAAAUUUGUUAAUGGAUUGAGUUAAAUUCAAGUCAUUCUCUUGACUAAUGAAACAAAACACCUAUGUCAGUGGAAAUUGUAGGAGAAUGAGAAGACAUACCUCCAUUGGACUCCGGCGAAUUGCCCUCUUCACCUUCCAGAAGCUUCAUCGGAACCGCUCUUCACUUUCCCUUUUGAGUUAGGGUUUUCACCACCGUAUGAAAGGCGAGAAAUAAAAAGUAAAGAGAUCGAUCCUUGCGAUGCUGCUCUCACUCCGGCGACUCUCCGAGCUAUCGGAGAAGAUGAUUGACAACAGAGGAGAGAAGGGGUUUGUAGCACUUUCU
RNAcentral lists this long non-coding RNA (1512 nucleotides) under Solanum tuberosum (potato). RNAcentral describes it as "long non-coding RNA (STUB_LNC008785)". Lineage: Eukaryota; Viridiplantae; Streptophyta; Magnoliopsida; Solanales; Solanaceae. The record is from RNAcentral.